RNAcentral lists this ribosomal RNA (253 nucleotides) under uncultured bacterium. RNAcentral's name for it is "partial 16S ribosomal RNA". It matches the Rfam family "Bacterial small subunit ribosomal RNA", at positions 524 to 776 of the family's 1533-position model. The record is from RNAcentral.
UACGGAGGGUGCAAGCGUUAUCCGGAUUCACUGGGUUUAAAGGGUGCGUAGGCGGAAUGAUAAGUCAGUGGUGAAAGCCCCGAGCUCAACUUGGGAAUUGCCAUUGAUACUGUUGUUCUUGAGUUCGGUUGAGGUAGGCGGAAUGUUGCAUGUAGCGGUGAAAUGCUUAGAUAUGCAACAGAACACCGAUUGCGAAGGCAGCUUACCAAGCCGACACUGACGCUGAUGCACGAAAGCGUGGGGAUCAAACAGG